Molecule: ribosomal RNA, 495 nt
Filed under: uncultured bacterium
Lineage: Bacteria
Description: partial 16S ribosomal RNA
Rfam family: Bacterial small subunit ribosomal RNA
Source: RNAcentral
GACGAACGCUGGCGGCGUGCCUAAUACAUGCAAGUAGAACGCUGAAGGAGGAGCUUGCUUCUCUGGAUGAGUUGCGAACGGGUGAGUAACGCGUAGGUAACCUGCCUGGUAGCGGGGGAUAACUAUUGGAAACGAUAGCUAAUACCGCAUAAUAGUAGAUGUUGCAUGACAUUUGCUUAAAAGGUGCAAUUGCAUCACUACCAGAUGGACCUGCGUUGUAUUAGCUAGUUGGUGGGGUAACGGCUCACCAAGGCGACGAUACAUAGCCGACCUGAGAGGGUGAUCGGCCACACUGGGACUGAGACACGGCCCAGACGCCUACGGGAGGCAGCAGUAGGGAAUCUUCGGCAAUGGACGGAAGUCUGACCGAGCAACGCCGCGUGAGUGAAGAAGGUUUUCGGAUCGUAAAGCUCUGUUGUAAGAGAAGAACGAGUGUGAGAGUGGAAAGUUCACACUGUGACGGUAUCUUACCAGAAAGGGACGGCUAACUACGUG